Molecule: ribosomal RNA, 359 nt
Filed under: uncultured Streptococcus sp.
Lineage: Bacteria; Bacillati; Bacillota; Bacilli; Lactobacillales; Streptococcaceae
Description: bacterial SSU rRNA
Rfam family: Bacterial small subunit ribosomal RNA
Source: RNAcentral
UUCGGUACAUCGGUGACAGGUGGUGCAUGGUUGUCGUCAGCUUGUGUCGUGAGAUGUUGGGUUAAGUCCGCAACGAGCGCAACCCCUAUUGUUAGUUGCCAUCAUUCAGUUGGGCACUCUAGCGAGACUGCCGGUAAUAACCGGAGGAAGUGGGGAUGACGUCAAAUCAUCAUGCCCCUUAUGACCUGGGCUACACACGUGCUACAAUGGUUGGUACAACGAGUUGCGAGUCGGUGACGGCGAGCUAAUCUCUUAAAGCCAAUCUCAGUUCGGAUUGUAGGCUGCAACUCGCCUACAUGAAGUCGGAAUCGCUAGUAAUCGCGGAUCAGCACGCCGCGGUGAAUACGUUCCCGGGCCUU